Molecule: long non-coding RNA, 786 nt
Filed under: Brassica rapa (field mustard)
Lineage: Eukaryota; Viridiplantae; Streptophyta; Magnoliopsida; Brassicales; Brassicaceae
Description: long non-coding RNA (BRAP_LNC007890)
Source: RNAcentral
CAGAUUAAUAAUAAGGGAAAAUAAAAAAACUUAUGUAAAAGAACUUUUUUUUGAACAAAAUAAGUUGACUAAUUUUUGGUUUUUGAGUUUAUUUCUCUGUCAGAAUGAAAAACUUUGAUUCAAUUGGCACAUAACUUCCUCACCACUCUGAACUUCCAAGAAAUGGAAGCGUAUGAAUGAAACCAGUUGAAGUAAUCUCGAAGCAGUGUUAGUUAAGUAUGUUCCAAACUGGAUGACGACAUAAUGAAAGUAAGCAUCAGUAAAUCAGUCGUCCUCUAUUCGCAGUCUCCUGCAACAAAUAUCAUAACUAAACCAUUUUAUUUAGACCAUAACUCGUUCAGAUCCGUAUGCAUGUAUGGAUAAUAAAAAUCCUUACCUUCUCGCUUAAACCCAGGGCUCCAAUUAUAAUCAUUGUUUCCUCGUGUGCCAGUUCACCUACCUUACCAGCCUAUGUUGGACAGAAACACCAUCUCAGUGGAAGAUAGAAAGAAUAAUACUUUCCAUAGUCAAGUAACUUACUAAAUUACUUUUUUUUUUUUUUUUGGUGUAAAACUUACUAAAUUACUUAACAAAUAAGACAGGGGUUGCACCAUCAUAUGUGUUUUUUUUCCUAUCCUAGAUUUGUCUAGGUUGAUCAUAAAAGAGAAACCACCUCAUGGAUGUGAAUUGAGACAGAGCUUUCAACUGAGCUUGCCUAAACAGCUAGUCAUUAUGCCUAUAAUAGCAUCUGAAUCUGAGGCAUAUAAAAAGCAUUGAUAAAAGUAAACACUCACAUUUAUAUAUGCA